This 311-nucleotide ribosomal RNA is filed under the name uncultured Phaeosphaeria. Its description in RNAcentral is "partial large subunit ribosomal RNA". It matches the Rfam family "Eukaryotic large subunit ribosomal RNA", at positions 40 to 350 of the family's 3401-position model. The record is from RNAcentral. Lineage: Eukaryota; Fungi; Ascomycota; Dothideomycetes; Pleosporales; Phaeosphaeriaceae.
AUAUCAAUAAGCGGAGGAAAAGAAACCAACAGGGAUUGCCCCAGUAACGGCGAGUGAAGCGGCAACAGCUCAAAUUUGAAAUCUGGCUCCCUUGCGCCCGAGUUGUAAUUUGCAGAGGGUGCUUUGGCGUCGCAGCGGCCUAAGUUCCUUGGAACAGGGCGUCACAGAGGGUGAGAACCCCGUACGUGGCCGCCCGCCUUCGCCGUGUAAAGCCCCUUCGACGAGUCGAGUUGUUUGGGAAUGCAGCUCUAAAUGGGAGGUAAAUUCCUUCUAAAGCUAAAUACUGGCCAGAGACCGAUAGCGCACAAGUA